GCCCAGGUAGCUCAGUGGUAAAGAAUCUGCUUGCUAUGCAGGAAAUUCGGGUUCAAUCCCUGGGCA
Molecule: transfer RNA, 66 nt
Filed under: Bos taurus (domestic cattle)
Lineage: Eukaryota; Metazoa; Chordata; Mammalia; Artiodactyla; Bovidae
Also listed under: 4 other names
Rfam family: tRNA
About the family: Transfer RNA (tRNA) molecules are approximately 80 nucleotides in length. Their secondary structure includes four short double-helical elements and three loops (D, anti-codon, and T loops). Further hydrogen bonds mediate the characteristic L-shaped molecular structure. tRNAs have two regions of fundamental functional importance: the anti-codon, which is responsible for specific mRNA codon recognition, and the 3' end, to which the tRNAs corresponding amino acid is attached (by aminoacyl-tRNA synthetases). tRNAs cope with the degeneracy of the genetic code in two manners: having more than one tRNA (with a specific anti-codon) for a particular amino acid; and 'wobble' base-pairing, i.e. permitting non-standard base-pairing at the 3rd anti-codon position.
Source: Rfam by way of RNAcentral